Acanthopagrus latus (yellowfin seabream) is the source of this 2120-nucleotide long non-coding RNA. RefSeq lists it as uncharacterized. The transcript is spliced from 5 exons. Lineage: Eukaryota; Metazoa; Chordata; Actinopteri; Spariformes; Sparidae. The record is from RefSeq and is a predicted model, not a curated record.
GAAUGAGCUAACACAGAGAAACAGACAGAUAGAGAUGCUUUUUACUGAUAGGUUUUGGUUCUAAACUUGAUCUCUGGCCCAAGCUUCAUGGAUAAGAUAACAAACAAAUCCACUGUACCAAAGGUUAAUCCAUACACUCAUAGUGUUUUAUGGCUCAGUGAUUUCUGUAUCAUUCACUGCUGGCUGAGUAUCCAGGUGUAAAUGUGUAUCUAUGGGGAUGGAUCAUCCCCAGUAAGAUGGUAAAUGAUGUUAUUGAAGAAGGCAGACACAAUCAUGUUAUAGAUCUGUUAAAAUUCCCUGAUGACAACAGCCCAAGAACAAAAAAUACCUCGUAAAUGUAUUAAACUGUGUUAAUUUUUAAAGGAAAUCGUUUCUGGCGUCGUACUGGAUUGCAUAAUGUCACAAGGCGUGCCUCGUGUUUGCUCUCUGAUCACCAUAUUACUGCUGAUCGCUGACAACUUUAUGAUUACCACAGCAGAUUUGAGAACGCUUUUAUCUCAGGAUCACAAGAAGUCAGCCUUGGCUGUGUCGUGAUCACAAGAAAAUGAAGCUUGCCGUUUGGAGAUGACUAGAUAUUCAUUUCACACAACAUAAUUGCUGUAUGAUCUUCUGCGUGUCAACCCAUUAACGUCUGGAUUAUUUCUUCGGAUUGAAUGCGCCACUUCUUGAACAUAAAGCAACUGUAUCUCCAAAAAAUGCACUGAUGAGUAUAAACAAAGUGUGGCAAAGAGACAGCAAGUGAUUUUCCUACUCAAAAAUAAAGACAUAAUGCUAGGAUGGUGCUGCAGUCUUUGGCAAUGUAUGCAGGUCACUCUACACAAUUUUUCAUAAAACGACAGCAUCCCGGCACAGAUGACAGACUGUCAAGAGGAACGACACACUGACAGUAAAACAUGAGCAGCUUCACUGUGAUGACAGGACUGGCGAGAAAUACAUUAAAGAGUAAUUUGUUGGAUCGCUGUCAGGAAUCAGAGGAGACAACUCACUGUGGUGCGGCAGCCAUGUUGACGUGCUGGUCCAGACUGUCACGUGCGGGCUGGUGUCACUGGUGUUGUUACAGUGGAAACAGUAGGGGGAGACGGAGCUCUCUUCUGUCACAGUGCAGCAUCCCGGCACAGAUGACAGACUGUCAAGAGGACUGACACACUGACAGUGAAACAUGAGCAGCUUCACUGUGAUGACAGCGGCCCUCUGGCAUCGAGGAAGUGUGUUCUGCUGGAAGUACAAAGCAGGUCCCAGGGACGCCAGGCGUUGAGCCACCACGGUCACUGUAGACUGCGCGCCAAUUCCCCUGCAUCCUAAAUUUUAUCUCUAGUGCCAGCUGUAAGUUGCGCUGAUACAGUUGAACUGCUCAGCUUUGAACCCUUGACUUUACCCCUUGCGGGUGUUGGACAUUUGCAGGGGAAGGAGGAGCAUCUUCAAAGACACUCAGGACAACAAAGGGCAGAAAAUAAAUGAGAGAAAGUAGGGUGGCUGUAGUGUAACAUUCUGCUAAAUUACAUUAAAAACUGAAAUAAGUUCAGCAGCCAUGGUAAAUAUUAGAGAGUUGCUGUUUUCUCUGAUCAAAUACUUUCCACUUUGUCUCUAACCACUUCCCUUGAGCAAGGCACUUAACGCUUUACAAGCAAGACAGAGAUUGUUGAGGGCGGCUCCCAGACGUCGAGAAUAUGUCUGCAUGGGGAGCAGAGUUUGCCACUUGUGUAAAAACAAAAGCAGUGAUUUUUCCUGUAUUUUGGCCCAAAUAUCAUUAUUAUGGAGAACAAAGGUAUGUAUCAUAAUGCAGGAAUUAUGUAGUAAGUUUCUCUGAACAAUUUGAGAGUUUUGAUCCAUUUCAAGUUCAGUUUUAAUCAUCAGAAAUCCAACGUACAGACCUUUUUACUUUUUCAAGGCGACAGGGAACGAGAGGCCGGACAUCCUCAAAGAAGAGAUCAGAUCACUUCAAGUUUCCUUCCAGAAACUAAUUCUAUCCUUCUACGAAAAAAAAAAAAAGAAAAAAGAAAAUGCUUCAGUCAAUUAGGCAGAUAGUGGAGUCUGUCGAGAAGCACAAUUGACUUGGAUUACUUCCUGUCUUCAGAUGACCAGAAGAGGGUUUAAUUAAAACACAAAAACGCUGCCUGAAG